RNAcentral lists this ribosomal RNA (253 nucleotides) under uncultured bacterium. RNAcentral describes it as "partial 16S ribosomal RNA". It matches the Rfam family "Bacterial small subunit ribosomal RNA", at positions 524 to 776 of the family's 1533-position model. The record is from RNAcentral.
UACGUAGGGUGCAAGCGUUGUCCGGAAUUAUUGGGCGUAAAGAGCUCGUAGGCGGUUUGUCGCGUCUGCUGUGAAAACUCGGGGCUUAACUCCGGGCCUGCAGUGGGUACGGGCAGACUAGAGUGCGGUAGGGGAGACUGGAAUUCCUGGUGUAGCGGUGAAAUGCGCAGAUAUCAGGAGGAACACCGGUGGCGAAGGCGGGUCUCUGGGCCGAAACUGACGCUGAGGAGCGAAAGCGUGGGGAGCAAACAGG